Molecule: ribosomal RNA, 497 nt
Filed under: uncultured bacterium
Lineage: Bacteria
Description: partial 16S ribosomal RNA
Rfam family: Bacterial small subunit ribosomal RNA
Source: RNAcentral
GAUGAACGCUGGCGGCGUGCCUAAUACAUGCAAGUCGAGCGAACGGACGAGGAGCUUGCUUUUCUGAUGUUAGCGGCGGACGGGUGAGUAACACGUGGAUAACCUACCUAUAAGACUGGGAUAACUUCGGGAAACCGGAGCUAAUACCGGAUAAUAUUUUGAACCGCAUGGUUCAAAAGUGAAAGACGGUCUUGCUGUCACUUAUAGAUGGAUCCGCGCUGCAUUAGCUAGUUGGUAAGGUAACGGCUUACCAAGGCAACGAUGCAUAGCCGACCUGAGAGGGUGAUCGGCCACACUGGAACUGAGACACGGUCCAGACUCCUACGGGAGGCAGCAGUAGGGAAUCUUCCGCAAUGGGCGAAAGCCUGACGGAGCAACGCCGCGUGAGUGAUGAAGGUCUUCGGAUCGUAAAACUCUGUUAUUAGGGAAGAACAUAUGUGUAAGUAACUGUGCACAUCUUGACGGUACCUAAUCAGAAAGCCACGGCCAACUACGUG